CAUCUGAAGAAAAUCUGGAAUUAGAAAAUCUGCAGAAUCAGGUUCUCUGUUUAGAAGAAAGGCUUAGAGAGAAGGAAACGAUGCUGCGACUGCAGGAGGAAAAUGAUGAAAAGAAAACCCUUUGCAUCAAACAACUGGAGGAAACGGCUUCACAUUGGAUGGAAAAAUGGCAAAAUGCUGCCUUGAUGCUUCAGUCCACACAAGCUGAGUUAGAAGAACUCAGGAAAAAGGACACAAUGAAUAAAAGAGAUUCAGAGUCCUUACUGAGGUCCGUGUCUGACGCCUGGAAACAGGAAAAAGGUAGUGAGUUGGUGCAGACUGUUGAUAACAACACACAGACAGA
Molecule: long non-coding RNA, 343 nt
Organism: Cyprinodon tularosa
Lineage: Eukaryota; Metazoa; Chordata; Actinopteri; Cyprinodontiformes; Cyprinodontidae
Exons: 3
Source: RefSeq, a predicted model, not a curated record